This 305-nucleotide ribosomal RNA is filed under the name uncultured bacterium. RNAcentral's name for it is "partial 16S ribosomal RNA". It matches the Rfam family "Bacterial small subunit ribosomal RNA", at positions 334 to 655 of the family's 1533-position model. The record is from RNAcentral.
CUUCCCUACGGGGGGCAGCAGUGGGGGAUAUUGCACAAUGGGGGAAACCCUGAUGCAGCGACGCCGCGUGAGUGAAGAAGUAUUUUGGUAUGUAAAGCUCUAUCAGCAGGGAAGAAAAAAGACGGUACCUGACUAAGAAGCCCCGGCUAACUACGUGCCAGCAGCCGCGGUAAUACGUAGGUGACAAGCGUUGUCCGGAUUUACUGGGUGUAAAGGGCGUGCAGCCGGGAAGACAAGUCAGAUGUGAAAUCCCGCGGCUCAACCGCGGAACUGCAUUUGAAACUGUUUUUCUUGAGUACCGGAGG